GACGAACGCUGGCGGCGUGCCUAAUACAUGCAAGUCGAGCGGACAGAUGGGAGCUUGCUCCCUGAUGUUAGCGGCGGACGGGUGAGUAACACGUGGGUAACCUGCCUGUAAGACUGGGAUAACUCCGGGAAACCGGGGCUAAUACCGGAUGCUUGUUUGAACCGCAUGGUUCAGACAUAAAAGGUGGCUUCGGCUACCACUUACAGAUGGACCCGCGGCGCAUUAGCUAGUUGGUGAGGUAACGGCUCACCAAGGCGACGAUGCGUAGCCGACCUGAGAGGGUGAUCGGCCACACUGGGACUGAGACACGGCCCAGACUCCUACGGGAGGCAGCAGUAGGGAAUCUUCCGCAAUGGACGAAAGUCUGACGGAGCAACGCCGCGUGAGUGAUGAAGGUUUUCGGAUCGUAAAGCUCUGUUGUUAGGGAAGAACAAGUGCCGUUCAAAUAGGGCGGCACCUUGACGGUACCUAACCAGAAAGCCACGGCUAACUACGUGCCAGCAGCCGCGGUAAUACGUAGGUGGCAAGCGUUGUCCGGAAUUAUUGGGCGUAAAGGGCUCGCAGGCGGUUUCUUAAGUCUGAUGUGAAAGCCCCCGGCUCAACCGGGGAGGGUCAUUGGAAACUGGGGAACUUGAGUGCAGAAGAGGAGAGUGGAAUUCCACGUGUAGCGGUGAAAUGCGUAGAGAUGUGGAGGAACACCAGUGGCGAAGGCGACUCUCUGGUCUGUAACUGACGCUGAGGAGCGAAAGCGUGGGGAGCGAACAGGAUUAGAUACCCUGGUAGUCCACGCCGUAAACGAUGAGUGCUAAGUGUUAGGGGGUUUCCGCCCCUUAGUGCUGCAGCUAACGCAUUAAGCACUCCGCCUGGGGAGUACGGUCGCAAGACUGAAACUCAAAGGAAUUGACGGGGGCCCGCACAAGCGGUGGAGCAUGUGGUUUAAUUCGAAGCAACGCGAAGAACCUUACCAGGUCUUGACAUCCUCUGACAAUCCUAGAGAUAGGACGUCCCCUUCGGGGGCAGAGUGACAGGUGGUGCAUGGUUGUCGUCAGCUCGUGUCGUGAGAUGUUGGGUUAAGUCCCGCAACGAGCGCAACCCUUGAUCUUAGUUGCCAGCAUUCAGUUGGGCACUCUAAGGUGACUGCCGGUGACAAACCGGAGGAAGGUGGGGAUGACGUCAAAUCAUCAUGCCCCUUAUGACCUGGGCUACACACGUGCUACAAUGGGCAGAACAAAGGGCAGCGAAACCGCGAGGUUAAGCCAAUCCCACAAAUCUGUUCUCAGUUCGGAUCGCAGUCUGCAACUCGACUGCGUGAAGCUGGAAUCGCUAGUAA
This 1330-nucleotide ribosomal RNA is filed under the name Bacillus amyloliquefaciens. RNAcentral's name for it is "bacterial SSU rRNA". It matches the Rfam family "Bacterial small subunit ribosomal RNA", at positions 28 to 1341 of the family's 1533-position model. Lineage: Bacteria; Bacillati; Bacillota; Bacilli; Caryophanales; Bacillaceae. The record is from RNAcentral.